Long non-coding RNA from Astatotilapia calliptera (eastern happy), 1063 nucleotides. The record is from Ensembl. NCBI's taxonomy places the organism in Eukaryota, Metazoa, Chordata, Actinopteri, Cichliformes, Cichlidae.
CCCUCGUCUGGGGCUCUCCUCAGCUCGUUCCAGGAGCGUGGCACGGUUGCCCCUUUGGUGGUCCUUCUUGGAUCCUCGUACUCUGGGCCCUCUGGAUGUCUGGGGCCUGGAUCUUCUCCAUACCCGCUUCAUGCCCUGGGGGACGGGGCCAUGGCUCCCCACACUCCCUAGCAGAUCGUUACAUGGAGAAACCUUUUGAACACAAGCGUGCUGAUCCACAAAGGUGUGCACACAGGUGUACACACAGGUGUUCACAGACACAAACUACACCUUUCUUGGCUGCUGCCUCAAAGCACAUAUAUUUAGUAUUUAUUAUUGCUGCACAAUAACAUAAAAUAUUUUGUAGUACUGUUAGCUAGUUUAUUGUGAUGGUGUUGUAUUUAUUAUGUUGUUCUUUUUUGUUUGUUUUCUCUUCUGGUUUUUCUUCUUCUCUCGACAGGUGAUCCAGGUGUUUUUUUCUUUUUUGUUUGCUUGUUUGUUUGCUUUUCUUUUUUUUCUCUUCUCUCCUUUCUCACUGUCGCUUCUCCCCUCUAUUUUGUCUUUCUCUCCCUCUCUUUCUUUCAUUCUUUCCUUCUCCCUGUCCUAUCCCCCAGUCAUAUCUGUCCCAUCUGUAACAACUGAAAAUAAAAUAAAAUAAAUACAUAAUAAUAAAAAAAGAUAGCAACUUGUAAAAUGCAAAAAAAGAAAGUGCAAGCUCUUACUUGAAUUUUUUUGUUUAAUAGUCUUUUUUUUCUUUAAAUUGUGUAGUUUUACUACAAUAAAUGUGUACUCUGUACUGAAAUAUGUGUACACUAAAAUACUGAAAAAUGUGCAAAGUUCAUGGUUGAUAUUGCUAUCUUUGCAGCUAUAAUAGUUCUUCUACAACUGAUAUUAAUCAAGCUGUUACUCUAUUGGGGAUUUAGUCUCACCAGCCAUGCACUACUAAGAAAUCCAGAGUACAGCUUCCUUCAGAUCAAUUGAUCUUGGUAGGUAGAAACUAUUUGUGGAAGCACUGCUUCCCAUAGACGUUGGUUUUAGCUACAGAAUUCUAAUUAACAUAGCUCAAUAUUGAGUGUUACCUUAG